ACCGGGGCUAAUACCGCAUAAGCCUGAGAAGGGAAAGCAGCAAUGCGCUGGGAGAGGAGCCCGCGGCCGAUUAGCUAGUUGGUGAGGUAACGGCCCACCAAGGCAGAGAUCGGUAGCCGGCCUGAGAGGGCACACGGCCACACUGGCACUGAAACACGGGCCAGACUCCUACGGGAGGCAGCAGUGGGGAAUCUUGCACAAUGGGGGAAACCCUGAUGCAGCGACGCCGCGUGAGCGAUGAAGCCCUUCGGGGUGUAAGGCUCUUUCGGCAGGGACGAUAAUGACGGUACCUGAAGAAGAAGCUGCGGCUAACUACGUGCCAGCAGCCGCGGUAAUACGUAGGCAGCGAGCGUUGUUCGGAGUUACUGGGCGUAAAGCGUGCGUAGGCGGUGUCCUAAGUCUGGUGUGAAAUCUCCCGGCUCAACUGGGAGGGUGCGCUAGAAACUGGGGUGCUGGAGUGUGGGAGAGGUAAGCGGAAUUCCUGGUGUAGCGGUGAAAUGCGUAGAUAUCAGGAGGAACACCUGCGGUGUAGACGGCUUACUGGACCAUUACUGACGCUGAGGCACGAAAGCGUGGGGAGCAAACAGGAUUAGAUACCCUGGUAGUCCACGCCCUAAACGAUGCAUACUUUGGUGUGGGCAGUUCAGUCUGUCCGUGCCGUAGCUAACGCGUUAUGUAUGCCGCCUGGGGAGUACGGUCGCAAGGCUGAAACUCANAGGAAUUGACCGGGGGCCCGCACAAGCGGUGGAGCAUGUGGUUUAAUUCGACCAACGCGAAAACCUUAUCUGGGCUCGAACGGCUGU
This 803-nucleotide ribosomal RNA is filed under the name uncultured bacterium. RNAcentral describes it as "bacterial SSU rRNA". It matches the Rfam family "Bacterial small subunit ribosomal RNA", at positions 156 to 992 of the family's 1533-position model. The record is from RNAcentral.